CCCGUCCGCAGCGGGAGGGGACGCGGCCAUCGCGAGCCCAGAGGAGGAUGCGGCGCCAAGCCGGAGACGGCACCAGGGAGAACUGUGGAGGCUGUUUAGUACUCAGUUCCGAUCUUGGCAGAAGUUUGCUAGCGCCUAGGUGCUUGCUUCAAAGUCAUCUCCAUGAAGCCUUUCCGAUUUAAAAAUUCCUACCUGCACUGCCAUCAUUCCAGAUCCCCAGAUCGGGCUCUAUUCCUCGCCUUUUGAAGAGCACUGAUCAACUUCUAAGGUAACAGCACCCAGGAUUGAUGCAGACUCCCCCAACCACCACCAGGAUGCUGGCACACAGACAAGCAGGAUCCUUUCAAAGCCCAAAUUGGGCCACGUCCCUCCUCUGCUCAGAAUCCUCCCCUGGAUCCCACCUCCACUUACCGUAAAAUGAGUUGGCUCCCUGACCCCUCCCACCUCAGGAUCUUUGCGCAGGCUCUUCCACAGCAGAGGGCACUCUAGUCCCUCAUAUCCUUGAGGUCUUUGCAGAACUCAGGCCUUCCUUAACCAUUGUCAUCAAUACUACAAACCAUUCUCCCUGACACCCCGACUUCCCUUGUCUGGUUUUAGUUGUUUCCUUUGAGGAGCACUCAUCACCAACAUUAACUAUAUACCUCA
Molecule: long non-coding RNA, 645 nt
Filed under: Homo sapiens (human)
Lineage: Eukaryota; Metazoa; Chordata; Mammalia; Primates; Hominidae
Description: HSALNT0407487
Source: RNAcentral